UACAGAGGUCUCAAGCGUUGUUCGGAUUCAUUGGGCGUAAAGGGCGCGUAGGCGGUUCGCUAAGUUGGAUGUGAAAACUCUGGGCUCAACCCAGAGCCUGCAUCCAAAACUGGUGGGCUAGAGUUCUGGAGGGGGUAGCGGAAUUCCUGGUGUAGCGGUGAAAUGCGUAGAUAUCAGGAGGAACACCGGUGGCGAAGGCGGCUACCUGGACAGAAACUGACGCUGAGGCGCGAAAGCCAGGGGAGCGAACGGG
RNAcentral lists this ribosomal RNA (253 nucleotides) under uncultured bacterium. Its description in RNAcentral is "partial 16S ribosomal RNA". It matches the Rfam family "Bacterial small subunit ribosomal RNA", at positions 524 to 776 of the family's 1533-position model. The record is from RNAcentral.